AAAAAAAAUAAAAUAAAAAAACAAGAAACGGAAUUGUAACUUGUGGCAGUGUUCUGUCCAUGCAUACACCACGUUCCAUCUAUGUCACAGGUUACCAUAUGAUUACUUUUGAUAAACAGUUUCGUGGGUCCUUCAUCAAAUAUUUUGUGGUUCUUAUGUAAUGGAGGUUUUUCUAACACAACUUGAAGCAUCUCUUUUCAG
This 201-nucleotide unclassified non-coding RNA is filed under the name Hevea brasiliensis (rubber tree). Lineage: Eukaryota; Viridiplantae; Streptophyta; Magnoliopsida; Malpighiales; Euphorbiaceae. The record is from RNAcentral.